CCUGGUGGCGAGUGGCGAACGGGUGAGUAAUAUAUCGGAACAUGCCCUGAAGUGGGGGAUAACGUAGCGAAAGUUACGCUAAUACCGCAUAUUCUGUGAGCAGGAAAGCAGGGGAUCGCAGGACCUUGCGCUUUAGGAGUGGCCGAUAUCGGAUUAGCUAGUUGGUGAGGUAAAGGCUCACCAAGGCGACGAUCCGUAGCGGGUCUGAGAGGAUGAUCCGCCACACUGGGACUGAGACACGGCCCAGACUCCUACGGGAGGCAGCAGUGGGGAAUUUUGGACAAUGGGCGCAAGCCUGAUCCAGCCAUGCCGCGUGAGUGAAGAAGGCCUUCGGGUUGUAAAGCUCUUUCGGUUGGGAAGAAAUUGCACUGGUUAAUACCUAGUGUAGAUGACGGUACCAGCAUAAGAAGCACCGGCUAACUACGUGCCAGCAGCCGCGGUAAUACGUAGGGUGCGAGCGUUAAUCGGAAUUACUGGGCGUAAAGCGUGCGCAGGCGGUUGUGUAAGUCAGAUGUGAAAGCCCCGGGCUCAACCUGGGA
This 539-nucleotide ribosomal RNA is filed under the name uncultured Rhodocyclaceae bacterium. RNAcentral describes it as "bacterial SSU rRNA". It matches the Rfam family "Bacterial small subunit ribosomal RNA", at positions 84 to 619 of the family's 1533-position model. Lineage: Bacteria; Pseudomonadati; Pseudomonadota; Betaproteobacteria; Rhodocyclales; Rhodocyclaceae. The record is from RNAcentral.